RNAcentral lists this ribosomal RNA (1131 nucleotides) under Triticum aestivum (bread wheat). RNAcentral describes it as "partial small subunit ribosomal RNA". Lineage: Eukaryota; Viridiplantae; Streptophyta; Magnoliopsida; Poales; Poaceae. The record is from RNAcentral.
AUGCAGAGCGGCCAGCAGCAAGCGAGGAGGAAGAACGCGCAGGUGCUGGACGGGUCGGACAUCCGCGAGCUGGUGGAGAACGAGGGGGCGUUCGCCAAGUUCGUGGAGAACAAGUUCCGGCACCUUGACGCCGACGGCGACGGGAGGCUGUCGCUGAGGGAGCUCCAGCCCGCCGUCGCGGACAUCGGCGCCGCCAUCGGGCUGCCGGCCAGGGGGUCGUCGGCGCAGGCGGACCACAUCUACUCCGAGGUUCUAAAUGAGUUCACCCAUGGGAAGCAAGAUUCGGUGAGCAAGCCGGAGUUCCAGCACGUGCUGUCCGACAUACUCCUCGGCAUGGCGGCCGGGCUCAAGAGGGACCCGAUCAUGAUCCUCAGGAUGGACGGGGAAGACCUGAACGAGUUUGUCGAGAGCACGGCGUACGAAGCAGAGGCGGUCGCCAUAUUCUCUCAAAUCGAGUCCGGAAGUGCGUUGUUGCGACAAUGUUUGCCCGCCGCUCUUCGACAGCUGACGGUCGAUCACGGCAUGCCACCGGCUUCGGAUUCUCUGGUUAUGGAGAAGGUCAUAGAACCUGCAUUGCAGGAACUGCCGGCAGAUCAGCUCGAUCGCCCGGCGUCGCAAGAGGUCUUCUUCCAGGAAUUCAAGAAGUACUUGGCAGUGAUCGCCCAGCGACUCCAGGAGUGCCCGGUAAUUGUGGCGCACACUGAAAACACCUUUGAUGGGGCUGGCAUUAGGAAGAUACUGUCUAAGAAGUUCGAGUUCGACAAGCUGCUGGAUUCCGUCUGGGUAGAUGUACCAAAGGAACACAAAGAUGGGACAUCGAAGAAGUACCUUCGCGUCGCGCUUGACAAGUUGGCCGCCUCAGUAAAUCUACCACCAUAUGGAGCUGUUGACCAGGUGGAUGCUGUGGUGAACGAGGCGUUCAAGAUGGCGAACGCCGACGACGGGAAGGCGGUGGACGAGGCGGAGUUCAAGAAGCUGCUCACCGAGAUCCUCGGGGCGGUGAUGCUGCAGCUAGACGGUAACGCCAUCGCGGUCUCCACCAACACCGUCCUCCACGAGCCCAUGUCCACCUCGUCGACCUUGUUGUCGCCGUCGCCGUCGCCGCCCACGGUGUCGUCGCCGAGCGAGUAG